Long non-coding RNA from Scaptodrosophila lebanonensis, 225 nucleotides. RefSeq lists it as uncharacterized. The transcript is spliced from 2 exons. The record is from RefSeq and is a predicted model, not a curated record. Lineage: Eukaryota; Metazoa; Arthropoda; Insecta; Diptera; Drosophilidae.
CACCUAUUUCAUUAAUAGAGUAGAGGUUCCGCCCACUAUGCGAAGAUCUAUACGUUUGGGAAUGCACCUAACAGCUUAUUUAUGCAGCGCUGGAAUUGUUUAUAAAAUUCGCUAAAUUUCAGAAGAAAGAAUCAGAAACAAUGUUUGGGAUUGAUUUUAAAAAGGUUGUAUUUAUAUUUUAUAACAAAUUAAAAAACCAAUAAACUCUUGUACGUAUUAACCAAA